This is a long non-coding RNA of Calypte anna (Anna's hummingbird), 1013 nucleotides long. RefSeq lists it as uncharacterized. The transcript has 3 exons. Lineage: Eukaryota; Metazoa; Chordata; Aves; Apodiformes; Trochilidae. The record is from RefSeq and is a predicted model, not a curated record.
AGCGCGGGGACGGGAAGGGUCGUUGUCGUGGCUGAGGAGAGACUUGGUUGUCCGUCCGGGCGGGUGGCGCCACAGCUGCCUUCGGAAAGGUCCUCGGCAAGGCGCGUCGCCUGCAACGUCAUUUACGAGGACGAGGUGGUAGCCGCGGCUUUUCUCCGUGAGCGGUUCCCCCCCGCCCGCCCCGGUUCCUUUGCUGUUCCCUUUGUCUUCCUUUCCUGUUCCCCUCCCCCCGCGCUCGCAAGCACCCUGAGCUGAGGUCUGGGUGCGCGGUGUUCGGGAGCGCGGCAGGGCGGGUGCCGUCGUUGCUGCGGGUGCUCGUUCCCUGUUUCCACCUCCCCGACUGCUGCGGCGCCUUCUGGGUUGCUGGUGCUGUCCGUCUCGCCUCGGUUCCUAGCGCCGUGACCGUAAUGAGUUGGUUCUCCGUAGGAGAAAAGCAGGUCUUAAGGAUGCGCUUCGUAAGAGAGAGCGUCAUAGAGGUUUCACGUGCUUUUGUCCAAUACUUGAGCUCCAGGGAGAACGAACGUCCGCUGAUGGUCCACUUCACUAAGUUCUUUGCCGAUUCUGUUAAUGCCUUUGUCUCCUGUCGUGCCUCUGCGUGGACGGCAUUGAAUAGAAAAGCUGCUCUAGGAAUCGAUCAAGCCAAGCUAAAACCUACCGGAGGUCGCUUAUCUGAAGUACUGGCCCGUCUCCUUACCCCCAUCGUCUUGUGUGCCGAAUCCCACUUGUGGAGGGGGCUCUGUAAAUACGUUGUAUUCUGCGCGUAGAGAGUAUUAAUGAGGCGCAAGAUAAUCAAGGUUUCGGCUUGCGUUUGGGUGCCUCACGUCCCAUAACCUUUCACCCCAACUCCGAUGCUUUUCCUAGUCAUGCCGAAGGAGCCGAUUAUGAGGUUAUUUGAAGCAGAAGAUUGUGGUGAUUCUGUAAGUACUGGGAAGCUUUCUGGACGCUCAGCUGUAGCCGUGAUUAGUUCCUCAUUUCCUAGACUCUUUUGCCAUCCCCCCUUUUGGUGUCGAUAG